GUGUCAGCAGCCGCGGUAAUACGUAGGGGGCAAGCGUUGUCCGGAUUUAUUGGGCGUAAAGCGCGUGUAGGCGGCCAGAUAGGUCGGUUGUGAAAAUUGGAGGCUCAACCUCCAGACGUCGAUCGAAACCAUCUGGCUAGAGUCCGGAAGAGGAGAAUGGAAUUCCUGGUGUAGCGGUGAAAUGCGCAGAUAUCAGGAAGAACACCGAUGGCGAAGGCAGUUCUCUGGGACGGUACUGACGCUGAGACGCGAAAGCGUGGGGAGCGAACAGGAUUAGAAACCCCAGUAGUCC
RNAcentral lists this ribosomal RNA (292 nucleotides) under uncultured bacterium. RNAcentral describes it as "partial 16S ribosomal RNA". It matches the Rfam family "Bacterial small subunit ribosomal RNA", at positions 505 to 796 of the family's 1533-position model. The record is from RNAcentral.